UAACGGAUCAAAGAAUUUUGAUGUAGCACUGACCACGUUACGCUUGGUAGGUUCCAUGACUUAGGCUGGGUGAGCUAUUUCUUGUAAGUUGAACAUAAAUUCAUCUGUGGAAUAGUUCCAUUCAACACCAAGUAUACGUUGUGUAGAAGAUUGGUCACAUGAUCUGUGGUAGGUCCCCAAGGUGGUCUUGGCAAAGGUUAUGCCAUCUUCCUGUGAUGAACAUGUAGUUUUUUGUGGGUUGGCACCAUUGGUUUCAUUGUUGUCGAUAUGUAAUUUGGUAGUGGGGUGAUUGGUUCGAAACUUUCUCAAGUUAAAUCCCCCUUGUGCUAGAAUUGAUUUUGACAGAUUAUACAAUUCAAAGGCUUCAUCUUCACUGGCUGUGCUAGCUGUAACGUCAUCAGCAUAAAUGGCCCUCAUAAAGGUUUUAACAAAUUCCGGAUUGGAAUCCUCAAAUUGCUCCAUAUGGUAUUUGAUGGUGGCGUUGAGGAGAAUGGUGAUGAACUGACUCCAAAAACAACUCUUGUAAAACGAAGCGUUGAGAUUUCUGGGUCUUCUUUGUGAAUGUUGUCAUACCAGAGAAAGCGAACAACAUCUCUAUCUUCUUCAGGUAAGCUGAUCACCAGAAAAGCCCUUUCAAUGUCACCAGUUAUGGCUAGUCGAUGGGAUCGAAACCUGAGGAUUAUGUCGAAUAUUUUCUGGGUUCAAGGAGGUUCCUGCUUAAAGGCAAUCAUUCAAUGAUGGGGUGAAGUUAGUUUUGGAUGACGCAUCAUAAACGAUUCGGAUUUUGGUGGUGGAAUGGUCUUGUCGAAUAACUCGAUGGUGUGUUAGGUGAUGGAUGAGUCCCAAGCAGUUGUCUUUAGUUGCAUCGCUGACCACUUCUAUGAUAGCCUGGUUUAGUUGAUCUCGGAUGACUCUGUCAUAUUCUUCAAGUAAAGGUGGGUUAGAUUUCAAUCUCUGGAAACAACUCUUGAGCUUUCUGAAACACAUUUGGUAAUUAUCAGACAAGGUUGGGUGUGGUUUCUUCCAAGGGAGUUUGACUUCAUAUCUUCCAUCUUUGAAGUUUAUGGUUUGAGUGAGUUUUUCAUAAAUGGAGGUCUGUUUAACACCAAUAGCUUCUAAAUCCCAGAAUUGCUUUAGCUGUUCCUCUAGUCCUAUGUGGAGAGCAGUCACGAAUAUGAGAUCUUCAUUUUGUUCUUCCUCAGUGGUGUAGGUUGGUCCAGACAAGAUCCACUCUAAAGACGUCUCCACUGCUGUGGGGCCUGGCUCCCUGGAUACCACUCGUUCAGUGACAAAAUCCCAGUAGUGGUCUGCACCCACGAGUAUAUGAAUGGCACCACCGGGUUCGGGCUCUGGAUAAUCUGCUAAGGUUAACGAACUCAAAUAACUGUGUGUAGAUUUGAUUUGGUUUACAUCAUAAUAUUUAGGGGGUUGACAGAUUAAUGGCUAGCACUGGUUGGAGGUGCCCGCCUUUGGUUUGGACUACAAUUUCUACGACAUCUAUUUCCUAAGUGAUUUCUUCAUCAGACCCAAAAAUCUUGAUGCUAAUGGAUUUCCUGUCAAUAGCGGAUAGGUUCAAGUCUCUUUGUAAUAUUUGGGUUAUGGAAGUCCGCUGGCUUCCAGUAUCAAAUGGCAUUCGACAAGUCAUGGUGGGUUUAUUCUUGCAAUGUGGAUUUGCCACCAAAGCUCUAGCUGUUUGUGAUAGGAUGUGGUUGUGGCUCUUGGAUUGAUUCUGAUCGGCUAACAUACUUGUAGUGGCUUUAAAUCCAUUUCCUGGAAUUACAUUUCUGAUGGAUUCCUAUGGAACUGGUUCUUCAUUGGAUCCAUUUGUAUUGGAACAAAUGCUAAUGUGGUGACGUUGAUUACAUUUGGGGCAUACUCUUCGAGAGGGACAGUUACGACUAAAAUGAUCGCGACGCAAACAGAUAAAACAUCUCCCUUUCUUUGUCCGCAAAUCCCUUCUGGCUUGAAUAUUAGUAAUAUUCUUACAGGAGUUGGAUGCAUGUUGUCCAUGACAGUAAGUACAAGUUGGUAGGGAUUGGUUGGUUGUAAAUAGGGCUGCAGACGUAGAAUAGUUAUUAUACAGGGGUAUGCGCAUGUUUGUGGACUGGCGCGGUCUUGCAAGGGUAGCUGAGCUUGUGUAAUCUUGAGUUCUCUCCCUUGCUGACAAUUCAUGUUCGAUGAGUUUAAUCAAAUGGUCCAGAUUCCAACCCUCUUCAGAUAUUUCCCGGCUAAUAAUUAGUCGCAAUUCACGUGAUGGUUACCAAAUCGUCUCUGCAAAAUAGAAACUGCUUCAGAAUAAUUAAGAGAAGUCAAGGCUAAUCCGGAAACGGCUACAGCUGCUGGUCCCUCCAAACAGGCAUUUUUAAAUAAGUAGUUAAACUUAUCGAUAUCUGAAAGAUUGUCAUUAUGAUGGAUGGCUGUGCUAAAUGAAUCCCAGAACGUCUGCCACGUGGAUGGAUCUCCUCGAAACUUUUCCAAGUCUAGUUUGGGUAAACUUAUGUGGAUUGAUAGGCUAAGGUAUGAGACUGAUGCACGUGUGAGGUUGACUGGUGCCAAGUUUACGGCAAUUGGGUUAGCACUAACAGAUGGUGAGUUGGCAGUUGAUUGGGGUUGUAUCAACUGGAUUAUGGGUGGGUGAAGUAGAUUGGUUACUUGAAUUAGGUGACUGUGGAUCGAUUCCAAUAACUGGUUCUGUAACAAGAUUGGCCUGGUCUUGCUGGCUGUCUGUGGUAAUGGGUGUUGGGCUCGGCAACUUCAAAAAUUCGAGCAUGGUCUGUAGUCCAAUUCCUUCAGUCCCUCUGACUGUUCUAUCUCAUGUUUUAUUUCUGCCUCAUCUAUAAAAUUCAAAACUUGAUCGCCGAAAUUCAUAUAUGUCUGUAAUUUACUGUCUAAGGCUUGUUUGGUUUGGGAUAAAUUAAUGACAUGUUCGGAAAUCUCAUCUGCUUUCGACAAGGAUUGACAGAUCAACAAUAACCCUGUCUUGUUUUAAAAUCCUUAUUUGUGCGGGCGUGAUACAAGUUUGUUUGGGUCGUUCAGCAGUCAAAAGUAGAGAAUAAAAUUACGAAGUUAAGUAGAUUUCUUUGGAUUGUUCCAUGAGUUACAUUAGAAUCGAUCCGUCUGGAUGUAGGAUAUUUCCUUUAUAUUGGCGACUCAAAGUCUAUGGAUGGAUGGUUCAUUUGGAAAACAACAGGUGGAUUUUUAGGACUGUAUUUAAUGGAUUACAUUUUACAACUCAUUUAUCAAGUCUUUUCUAAUUAUAUAGAAUUUGUAAUCGUGACAUUCGCGACUAUAGCUUUGGACAAGAUUGAUUUUCAAACGCUAGAGCGCAACAGUACCGGCAGCAACCGGAGACGACCGAAAACGAACAAUACUAAAUACAAUAAUAUUUAAUUCACCGACACAGCCCCAGAAGAUAAAAACUAGCCCUAUUCUAAGUACUAGAUGUGUUAGUGUCCUACCUGUUGUGUAAAUUAUCCAUUAAAUCCUACCUUACUUGUCCAGAGGGUUCGAAAAUAUUUUUAAAUCCAAGUCACAUUUGAAAAGCUUUACGUUAGGCUUUUCAAAUCAUUUGAGAGCCAUUUCUAUCAAGGGAGGUAAUAAGCUCCAAAUUUGAUUGACUUCCUGUUCUAAGAAUAGCUUUCCAUAAUGUCACCACCGGGAUAUCCCCCGCGUGUGGUUAAUGGCAUUCUAUAGACAGUCCUUCCGCGGAUAAUCUGCUUGUAUUGUUUACAGAUAUAUAGGCUAGCCUAUAACACGCCGGUGUGAAUACUUGUCUACGAUAUCACCUAUGGUGGAAGUGGACUAAAAACUUCAGGAACGAACGAACGGUGUCAGUAUCAUCAUUCGACAUUGAUUGACAAGUGUUGAUUUUUUCCGUCGAUUGACAAGUCGGAAGUAAUAUUUAAGUCACGCGUGUAAUUAUUAGUAGAUCAUUAUGUCUAUUGAUUCUGCUAAGAAGCGCAAACAAGCGGGAUAUCGGAGAGAUGGUCGUUAACAAAUGUGAAUUUGGUAACAGAGCAGAUUAGGUGGGAAGAAUUGAAGGACUAAUUGAUAUAAGUUGACUGAACAUAGAAAGCCGUGAAGAAUGGGCAACCAGACAAAGCUGUUAUUAUAUAUAAUAAUACAGGUAAAUUGCAACAAAAAAAAUAUGUUAUCAAUAAAAACUAAAUUCAACCUAUUCUUAUAAGCUUAUUAUUUGCCAUGGGAAAACAUCAUUUUUAAAAAAAAACAAAACAUUAAUUGUUUAUGUUUAUAAAAGACGCAAAAUAUUGUUUCUAUUCUUUCGCAAUUCAAGGGCAGAUCUAGUGGGGAACGCACCAGAUUCUUGUUUCAUAUGACUGGAAAUAGGGAGGCCACCUGCAUGGUCUUCGUGCUCGCAAAGUCCGAAUUAGUUGCCUGUGUCCACCCUUUAUCCAUGGUCUCUGAAUCCGCCUUUGUAAUUUUUAAUUUUCCAUUUUUAUUUUUUAUUGUUGACUGGGCUUUUGCACCAAUGAAAGGAGCCAAGCAUUAUGGCUUCAUGUUAUCCUUGCUGUAUAUUAUGGUGAAGACCCCUGGGCCCAGAUGCCAGUCAAAUCUAUAAACCUUAGCCUCGGCAGAUCACAGCACAUUCGCACACAAACCCCGUGAAAUUAUACCUUGGACGCUACCCUGCAAAAGGCAAUGUGUCUUUAUUUAUGGAAACAAAAUCGAAUAGGCGUACGUAUUAUUGAUCUCACAUCUCAUACCCAUACAGGUCUAAGCAUACUAUGUGGCUUCUCUGGCACAUUCUAAGGAAACGAUAUCACCCUAGGUGGAAACGGGCAUUAAACCUAAAGCCAAAUCAUGAAGGAAAAGACCACUGGGUGGGGCUGACCUCUGAAAGAUUGCUGGGACCAUUGCCACAACCAAGCCUGAACCAACUUCAGAAAUAGCCGACAAGAAAGAGAACACGAUUUUAAUGUGGAAACGGGCAUUAAACCUAAAGCCAAAUCAUGAAGGAAAAGACCACUGGGUGGGGCUGACCUCUGAAAGAUUGCUGGGACCAUUGCCACAACCAAGCCUGAACCAACUUCAGAAAUAGCCGACAAGAAAGAGAACACGAUGUUAAUUAAACCGGGUAAUUUGAAAAGGAGUGAAAUGAAGGCCUUUUAACUACUGCUGUUCGACUACCUACGCCUAUGACAUUAGUGUUCCAACUUCCUUGAUGAAAUCUUUCGAAGAAUAUUAUGACAAAAAAAAUCAAUUACUGGUUGUAAAGAAAUACAAUUCUCUGGUCUGUUACCACAACAUAUAUAUAGGCAUAACUCCACAUCUGUCACAGGAAUUGGAUUUGGUGAUUGGCUUGACUGUUGAUUCACAACUUCUUCCAAAAUAUCAAACAAAAUUAAAGGCAUUAUUUCAGCAAAAGACAACGAAUGUCUCCUUCGUCCAUCUACUUCUAGCUCAUUUCCCAUUUUCUGAAAUUUGAAAAUUGUGUUAGCAAUUUGUAAAUAGUUAUCCCGCAGCUCAUAAUAUACUGUUUGAAUAUUUUAUAUAAUUAUCAGAUAUGACCAUACAUAUUUUUGUAUUUCUUUGUAAAUAUAUCAGCUUAUUUUUUUAUAAAUUAAUUAUUUAAAAAUAGCUGCUCCUCUUGAGCUAAUAUUUUUUGUUUUUUUUAUAUAAUUACAAGAAAGUGUGUAAAAAAUAAUCCAUCG
Long non-coding RNA from Patella vulgata (common limpet), 5672 nucleotides. RefSeq lists it as uncharacterized. Lineage: Eukaryota; Metazoa; Mollusca; Gastropoda; Patellidae. The transcript has 3 exons. The record is from RefSeq and is a predicted model, not a curated record.